AGGAUGAACGCUGGCGGCGUGCCUAACACAUGCAAGUCGAGCGGAGAUGUACUGAAGAUUUAUCGGAUGUACAUCUUAGCGGCGGACGGGUGAGUAACGCGUGGGCAACCUGCCUUUCACUGGGGGAUAACACAGGGAAACCUGUGCUAAUACCGCAUGACAUCACGUAGGGCAUCCUAUGUGAUCAAAGGAGAGAUCCGGUGGAAGAUGGGCCCGCGUCCAAUUAGCUGGUUGGUGAGGUAAAGGCUCACCAAGGCGACGAUUGGUAGCCGAACUGAGAGGUUGAUCGGCCACAUUGGGACUGAGACACGGCCCAGACUCCUACGGGAGGCAGCAGUGGGGAAUAUUGCGCAAUGGGGGGAACCCUGACGCAGCAACGCCGCGUGAAGGAAGAAGGUCUUCGGAUUGUAAACUUCUUUGAUGAGGGACGAAUAAAGUGACGGUACCUCAAAAACAAGCCACGGCUAACUACGUG
RNAcentral lists this ribosomal RNA (475 nucleotides) under uncultured bacterium. Its description in RNAcentral is "bacterial SSU rRNA". It matches the Rfam family "Bacterial small subunit ribosomal RNA", at positions 26 to 507 of the family's 1533-position model. The record is from RNAcentral.